CAAUAGCGUAUAUUAAAGUUGUUGCAGUUAAAAAGCUCGUAGUUGGAUUUCUGGUUGAAGCGACCGGUCGGGCGUUGAUUCGUCUGCACUGGAGUCGGUUUUGGCCAUCCUCUAGGAAAGUGCGUCUGGUAUUAAGUUAUCGGGCGCAUGAUCCUGGUCUUUUACUGUGAAAAAAUUAGAGUGUUUAAAGCAGGCCUUCGCCUUGAAUACAUUAGCAUGGAAUAAUAAGAUAGGACUUUGGUCUAUUUUGUUGGUUUGCAGACCGAAGUAAUGAUUAAUAGGGAUAGUUGGGGGUAUUUAUAUUCCGAUGUCAGAGGUGAAAUUCUUAGAUUUUCGGAAGAUAAACUUAUGCGAAAGCAUUUACCAAGGAUGUUUUCAUUAA
This 382-nucleotide ribosomal RNA is filed under the name uncultured eukaryote. Its description in RNAcentral is "partial 18S ribosomal RNA". It matches the Rfam family "Eukaryotic small subunit ribosomal RNA", at positions 592 to 976 of the family's 1831-position model. The record is from RNAcentral.